RNAcentral lists this long non-coding RNA (335 nucleotides) under Salmo salar (Atlantic salmon). Its description in RNAcentral is "lncRNA (ENSSSAG00000116924.1)". Lineage: Eukaryota; Metazoa; Chordata; Actinopteri; Salmoniformes; Salmonidae. The record is from RNAcentral.
CUGUCCUCUCUGGGCAGCCAGGUUUGUCUGUGACGACCGGUCUCUAUAGCCAGCCUGUCCUCUCUGGGCAGCCAGACUGUCCUCUCUGGGCAGCCAGGUUGGUCUGUGACGACCGGUCUCUAUAGCCAGACUGUCCUCUCUGGGCAGCCAGACUGUCCUCUCUGGGCAGCCAGACUGUCCUCUCUGGGCAGCCAGGUUUGUCUGUGACGACCGGUCUCUAUAGCCAGACUGUCCUCUCUGAGUCUGUACCUAGUCAGUGUUUUCCUCAGUUUUCUAUCAGUCACAGUGGUCAGAUAAUCUGCCACCAUGUACUGUCUGUUUAGAGACAAAUAGCA